Molecule: long non-coding RNA, 1300 nt
Filed under: Capsella rubella
Lineage: Eukaryota; Viridiplantae; Streptophyta; Magnoliopsida; Brassicales; Brassicaceae
Description: long non-coding RNA (CRUB_LNC002379)
Source: RNAcentral
UUGUUGUCAUUAUCAUCACCAGCUGUUGCGUUAUCGAAACGCGAUUCGUAAUCUGCGUUUGGAGAAGAGAGAGAUGAUAGAACGGUUCGGAGAUUGGUUAAGUAAGUGCUGUUUUUUCUGAACGUUGUUGUGUUUGGACAUAUGUGGUAGAGAUAAGUUGGAUCUGUUGCAGAAGAAAUCGAGUUUAAGCUCAUAAACAAGAAAAUCAAGAUCAGAGAAACAGAGGAUUUUAAACAAAAAGACAUGUUUUUUUUGUUUCUUAUUAAGCUAUUGUUCUGUUCUUUGUGAUUACUGCAAUAUGAUCAAUCAUGAUUACAGAACAUUUUGAUUUCAAUGGUAAGACUUGUUCAAAACAUGUCAUCAAAGUGUUCUGUUAGAGAUUUUUCAAGAUUUGUGUCGUAAUCAUUGAAAUAAUGAUCUGAUUAAAGAAACAUGUUUGGUCAAAGCCUCAAAGGUUUUUUUGGGGAAUCUUAAGUAUAUUAUUCAUUUUCCUCUCUGUUAGGGUUGACUAUGGCGACUACUUUGGGAAGAUUUGUCUCAGUUUCUUCUUCCAAUCAUGGCGUCUUCUUGAUAAAAGCUACCUUGCGUUUUGGCUAGGAGACGAAUUUUUUCUGUCACUGUUAAUGUUUCUUACAAGUUUGAAAUUUGUUGGUGUUUUAGCUCAUCAAGUCAUCAUGCACGCAUGGUGUUUGUUGAAAUGUCUUCUGAGAAUAUGCAGUGAUAUUCGUAGAUCAAAAAACGCUUUUUUCGUGUAUAAGAUAGGUCUAAAAUGUGUGUUUAUGAAGUUUGAGAAUAGAUACUGUGGGUUGAUGCUUCAAGUAAAUAUGUUCUUGAUCUAGAUAUGGUUUAUUCAGCAUUAUUGUAAGCAAUAAAGCUAGAUAUAGCGAUAGAUUCAAGAACUUAAAUAUUAAGAGUCCUGAUUGAGAAAUUUUAGUUUUGUGUUCUAUUUGAUUGUAAUUGGUUGUUGCUGAUGAUAUUUCUUGUGUUUUGUUGUAAUUCUCAAGAGUAAAGAACUAGUGGAGGUAAUAAUGUUGACCAGAAUUUGGCUUCUGAGUAUUGUUAUUUGUUGAGAUUGGUCUUUAACUGUUCAGGAUUUGGGUUUUAUGUGGACGACCACGGAAACAUGGUGAAGAAGCCUCAAAUAAGUACUCCUAGAUUGCUUUGUUGAUUCUGAAGAACAAUUUGAAAUACUUUUAUCUUUCGUUCUGUUUAUUGUUCGAGACCAUGUCACCAGUGUAGCAAAGGUAAAAACUUACACUUUAAAAUUGGAGUUAUGAAAUCGUGCAGUGCUUCAUCUCUA